RNAcentral lists this ribosomal RNA (403 nucleotides) under uncultured bacterium. RNAcentral describes it as "bacterial SSU rRNA". It matches the Rfam family "Bacterial small subunit ribosomal RNA", at positions 362 to 758 of the family's 1533-position model. The record is from RNAcentral.
UAUUGGACAAUGGGCGCAAGCCUGAUCCAGCAAUACCGCGUGUGUGAAGAAGGCCUUAGGGUUGUAGAGCACUUUCAAUUGGGAGGAAAACCUGCCGGUCAAUACCCGGUAGCUUGACAUUACCUUUAGAAGAAGCACCGGCUAUCUCCGUGCCAGCAGCCGCGGUAAUACGGAGGGUGCGAGCGUUAAUCGGAAUUACUGGGCGUAAAGCGUGCGUAGGCGGUUCGUUAAGUCAGAUGUGAAAGCCCUGGGCUCAACCUGGGAACUGCAUUUGAAACUGGCGGACUAGAGUUUAGUAGAGGGGAGUGGAAUUUCAGGUGUAGCGGUGAAAUGCGUAGAUAUCUGAAGGAACACCAGUGGCGAAGGCGACUCCCUGGACUAGAACUGACGCUGAGGUACGAAA